UUUUUUUGAUUAUUAUUAAAAUCCUAUAUAUUUUAAAUACUAGGACUAUUUAUUCAUUUUUACUCCAAUAAUUUUGGCAACCAUGAAGGGACUAGAAGAAACAGAAUUCUUCUCCUGCCAUGGUUUUCCUUCUCCCCUCUCCUCUCUUCCUUCUUCACUUUCCCCUCUUCCUUCUUCCUUCUCCCUUCAGGAAACCCUUCAAAGCUUUCUCAGGCUCAUUGCCUACACCUGCCCACCAGGAGAGACUGGGUAGCCAGGUCUCUCCCUCACAGAGACUGUUCCUGCUGACUCCUUCCACUGUUACUACUGCUUGCCCGUUGCUGCUACUGGAUGAAGAAAUGAGAUACCUUUUACAACUCUGGAUAAGGAACAUAUUCUUAAAAGAUGACCAUAAAAAGGGGAGGUCUUCUACUAGAUAAAGGAAGAAGAAUGUCAACUGCUGUAACCAAGGGAAGCAAGGAAAUCUCCUUGCUAUAGGCUGCCUGGAAACAACCCUUGGACCAAUCAGCUGCCUUCUGGGUAUCAGCUCUUCCAGCCCCUGUCACUGUUUCCUUGCAAACCAAAACCAGCAUCAUCAUGAAUUACGUAUGUAGUGACCUCCACCUGUGGCCUGUAUCCCCAGAGAAGUGAGGACACUGUGUUCACUCAGCAUCUAUUAAUUCAGCUUGUACUGUAUUAUCUUGUGAUUGUGUUUGCUUUGUGGUUAUUCUGAAGAUAUUCCAUGUGUUAUGUAUUUGGUUUCUCUAACGAGGCUAUAACCUCUACACAAAUAGGAACUGUUCUGUUUCUUAUAGAUUCCAUCCUACACUGGCUGGUACAGUUUUCAGCAUUGCAAAAGAAUAAGUAUCCAAACAAUAUAUCUUAAUGAACCUGAGAAAUGAAAUGAAAUGUUUUGAUAAAUGCUUUCUGAUUAUGAGACUGCAGGUCUAUUGUAGUCUUCUUUGUUCUGAGAUUUGCUAAGAACAUCUCAGUAUCAGUAAUCCACACUUUAAUUUUUGACAUCAAUAUUUUCUUCACAUUUUUAUAUUAUGCACUCCAUCAUGAACUGGAUAUUUGAUAUCCCAAAACUAGAAGCCAUACCCACUUUAGGAUGGAAAGGUGAUUUGUAUAGAAAAUAGCCUAAAAAUUUUGUCCUGAAAUCUCACAGGAACUGUAAGAGAUUUCUUCAGUUCUCUGAAUGCUGAGCAAUUUAAUUUCUCUCAAGAUCUAAGACUCUUGCUUCUACCCCUUCCCUCAAAAAUAUGGUAUUCUAAUCUGGCAGUUCUAAUAAUAGUAAUAGCUACACAUGCAUUGUUCACAAGCAUUAAUCCACAAAUAUUAUAAUUACAAUUUGGAACCCAGUCAACCAAAUAUUGUAUGUAACUCCCCCUCACCUCUAUGUGAUUGAGAGAAAUGGGCACAGGCCAAAGAAAUGAAAUGCAAAGAUGAAAAAUUCAAGAGAGCACAUAGAAUGCAGACCCAGACCCAUGAGGGAGGAGAGAGGGUUCUAUGGAAGGUUGAGAAGGAGGACCAGUUGGUCAAAGCUGAUCUUCUAGACACACUUCUGCCAGGAGUGGUUUGAUCUCCACAUCACUUCACUUCUCUCUGACCAACUUCUCUGAAGGGGAAGGCUGACGAAGUUCUUGGUUGUUAUCUUUCUCUACCUAGUUUGAGCUGAAGAAAAGAGAGUCUUGCCCAGUAAAGUAUGCAGCUAGAUUAUUAUUGUUUCCCUCAUGGGAAGUCAAUUUUAUUCCUUUUUGAAGAGACUUAAACCAAAGCCUUCAAUAAGUGAUAGAAAUUAGAAUUCGGGAUUAGAAUCCCAUUUCCUUCUUAUUUCCUUCCCCCUCCCCCAAGAAAAUAAAUAGGUCUUUUUAACUAUAGAAACUGUUCUC
Long non-coding RNA from Monodelphis domestica (gray short-tailed opossum), 1871 nucleotides. Lineage: Eukaryota; Metazoa; Chordata; Mammalia; Didelphimorphia; Didelphidae. The record is from Ensembl.